AUCAUUGAUUAGCAUGGUGUUAAUGCACCGGAUCCCAUCAGAAAUACGCAGUUAAGGACGCUUGGGUUAGAGUAGUACUGGGAAGGGUGACCUCCUAGGAAGUCCAAGUGUUGCACACU
Molecule: non-coding RNA, 119 nt
Organism: Picea glauca (white spruce)
Lineage: Eukaryota; Viridiplantae; Streptophyta; Pinopsida; Pinales; Pinaceae
Source: Rfam